GCACGCGUAUUAUAUCAUGUUGUGGGAGACAUGCUUUAUAAUCCUGUAGCAGGGCAUUCUAUCAAACAGACAGACCACGGACGCUCUUGAUAAUAAUUCGAGAGAAAGCCUCCAUACAGUCCUUUCACAGCAGCCAAGCGAAUGUCGGUACAAGAAAAAUGAAGCUGGCGUUUGUGUUCGUGGUGGUGUUGGCGCUUGCUCGCUCCUCGUCGGCUCAAUACAGUACUUGGCAGAGCUACUAUUCGGCCCUCUAUAUCAGAAUAGGACAGAUUAAAGCCAAAAUCAUCUCUCUCACAAGCAACGUUAACGCCUGUUCAUGUGACAUCGCACUAAAAGGUGAAAAGGGAGAUUUAGGUGACACGGGGCCGACUGGUCCCAACGGACCUGCAGG
Molecule: long non-coding RNA, 391 nt
Organism: Saccostrea cuccullata (small rock oyster)
Lineage: Eukaryota; Metazoa; Mollusca; Bivalvia; Ostreida; Ostreidae
Exons: 3
Source: RefSeq, a predicted model, not a curated record